UACGUAGGUGGCAAGCGUUGUCCGGAAUUACUGGGCGUAAAGCGCACGUAGGCGGAUUUGUAAGUCAGGGGUGAAAUCCCGAGGCUCAACCUCGGAACUGCCUUUGAUACUGCAAAUCUCGAGUCCGGAAGAGGUGAGUGGAAUUCCUAGUGUAGAGGUGAAAUUCGUAGAUAUUAGGAAGAACACCAGUGGCGAAGGCGGCUCACUGGUCCGGUACUGACGCUGAGGUGCGAAAGCGUGGGGAGCAAACAGG
This 253-nucleotide ribosomal RNA is filed under the name uncultured bacterium. RNAcentral describes it as "partial 16S ribosomal RNA". It matches the Rfam family "Bacterial small subunit ribosomal RNA", at positions 524 to 776 of the family's 1533-position model. The record is from RNAcentral.